AACGGUCCUAAGAUACCAUGCGUACAGCAUUAAAGGACAUUGCAUAAUUUCACAAGGUUACUGUGAUGUGGUGUAUGAUGGAUUGGAAAACCGGUCGUAGUUCAGGACGUUCGUCCCAACACUGUUCCAUUAAGGAAUGCAAUGCCCCUGGAGCAGCUGAAAUAGGCAAGCAUUACUGCUUUCGUACUUUCCGGCAAGGAUCACUCCGAUAACGGACCCCGCAGUAAUCAACAUCAACGGUAUCAGAAUGGCAGCUGCCAGUGCUCCUGUGCUCAUGGCAAAGGUAUCGUUUACCGGGUGCACACACUGCCGCUUUUCCAUCGAAACCACAACGCGGCGUAUUGGGUGGGAGCCGAGUUCCCCAUCCCGGCCAAUCUAAAACGCUCAAAAGAAUGGCGGUGCUGGAUUCCACUGGAAUACCAAACGCGAUCUGGAAACAGCAUUAAGCGUAUAUAUACCUGGGUGUAGGAAAAUAUCCGAUCACCGGUGUCAGCGAACGAUGCCGGUCCGUUUACGGGACUGACGAAAGUGAAACUUGUGGAAAACAGAUCGGGAAAGUGCUCCGAAAAAUUUUGAAUUCCGCUCAUGCGCAGAGUUUUAACCAGAGUGGCGAAGUACACAACGGCGUCGUAAAAAUG
This is a long non-coding RNA of Paramacrobiotus metropolitanus, 638 nucleotides long. RefSeq lists it as uncharacterized. The record is from RefSeq and is a predicted model, not a curated record. NCBI's taxonomy places the organism in Eukaryota, Metazoa, Tardigrada, Eutardigrada, Parachela, Macrobiotidae. The transcript is spliced from 5 exons.